CCCGGCGGCAAAUUAAGGCCUUUUAGCCCUAUAAACUCCCAGGGAAACUCAUGAUUCGUGCCUCUCCAAGUCUCCUAGGCUGCACCCCUCGACAAGUUGUAAGAAACGGAAAUUCCCAGUGAAGGAGACAAGAACAUGCCAGUCUACAAGGAAGUAGGUCCAAGGCAUGUACCUUCCUGAACUUCUACGAAAGAGAUAACUGAGAGAAAAGAUGGGGCAAAUUAGUUAACACUCAACCCAAGGGGCAAACUUGCAUCAACAAAUCUUGUUGGCUUGCCCAUUAAAGAGAGGAUUCAGGACAAAGCGACAGGUCAUUUAGUGACGUCCAAGAAACACUGAGAGUGGCUCACCCAAGAGGGAGCAGAGAGCAGCCAGAAUAAGUUACUAAACGACAUCGACAGAAAGAGAAUAUCUACAGAUCC
RNAcentral lists this long non-coding RNA (422 nucleotides) under Brassica napus (rape). RNAcentral's name for it is "long non-coding RNA (BNAP_LNC016183)". The record is from RNAcentral. Lineage: Eukaryota; Viridiplantae; Streptophyta; Magnoliopsida; Brassicales; Brassicaceae.